AAGGUAAGAACAAAAUAACCACAUCUUAAGUACAGUUUGACUUUCAUGACUAAAGAUAAAAAUUACAGGGAGGUAGGAUUUUAUUUCACUAUAAAGAUGAACUUCCUAACGAAAUGAGAAACUGAUUACAUCUGCUUAUUUGGACAGUGAAUGGAACCACAUAUUCUGCCUGUUGGCAAACACCAAAUCUGUAUAGUUUAUUUUCUUCAAAGGGAAUCAUGAUUGCCAACAAUCACUCAGCACCAACAAUUUACUGAAUGUUUAUCUGCCUGCAUUCUUCUUGUGGCUGGAAAUGUAGCAGUGAACCAGACCGAGACCCUGAUCCGCUGGGUAUAUAGCUGGGGGAGUCAGACAUUCAUGAAAAUGACUUCUAGUGCCACAGAUAUUUCAAAAGAUGCAGUAAAGAGUUCUGUGGGUCUGAAUGAUAUGGUGUGCUAACCAAAUAUGUGAAGGUGGCGAAGGUCUCCUAGAAGAAUUGGUGCAAAACUUGAGUCUCAAAGGAUGAGCUGGGUGAGGAGUUGGGCACAGUAUUCUGGGCAGUGGGAACAUCAUGGACAGAAGCCUGAAUGCAGCGGAGAGACUGACUCACUUGUGGGCAUGAAGGAGAUCAGCAUGACUGGAUUGGAGCUCACUUCCUGGUGUUUUCACCUCAUUGCAUGGCACUUGCCCCUUUGGAGUCAGCCACCAUGUUAUGAGGAAGUCUGGGACACAUGAAGAGGCCACAUGCACUUAUUCUGUCUAAAAGCCCUAGCUAAUUGCAAGGCUGACAGCCAGCAGCAACUAUCAUUUUUGUGAAUAAAUAAGUCUUCAGAUGAUUCCAAAUCCCAGCCUUUGAGUCACCCCAGCUGAUGUCAAGUAGAGCAAAGAUGAGCUAUCCUCACCGAACUCCAUCUAAAUUGCUGAUUCCUGAGCAAAAUAAAUGUCAUUGUUCUAAGUCUCUAAA
Molecule: long non-coding RNA, 943 nt
Organism: Homo sapiens (human)
Lineage: Eukaryota; Metazoa; Chordata; Mammalia; Primates; Hominidae
Source: Ensembl